Molecule: ribosomal RNA, 657 nt
Filed under: Staphylococcus pseudintermedius
Lineage: Bacteria; Bacillati; Bacillota; Bacilli; Caryophanales; Staphylococcaceae
Description: bacterial SSU rRNA
Rfam family: Bacterial small subunit ribosomal RNA
Source: RNAcentral
AGCUAGUUGGUGGGGUAACGGCCUACCAAGGCGACGAUACGUAGCCGACCUGAGAGGGUGAUCGGCCACACUGGAACUGAGACACGGUCCAGACUCCUACGGGAGGCAGCAGUAGGGAAUCUUCCGCAAUGGGCGAAAGCCUGACGGAGCAACGCCGCGUGAGUGAUGAAGGUCUUCGGAUCGUAAAGCUCUGUUGUUAGGGAAGAACAAAUGUGUAAGUAACUGUGCACAUCUUGACGGUACCUAACCAGAAAGCCACGGCUAACUACGUGCCAGCAGCCGCGGUAAUACGUAGGUGGCAAGCGUUAUCCGGAAUUAUUGGGCGUAAAGCGCGCGUAGGCGGUUUUUUAAGUCUGAUGUGAAAGCCCACGGCUCAACCGUGGAGGGUCAUUGGAAACUGGAAAACUUGAGUGCAGAAGAGGAAAGUGGAAUUCCAUGUGUAGCGGUGAAAUGCGCAGAGAUAUGGAGGAACACCAGUGGCGAAGGCGGCUUUCUGGUCUGCAACUGACGCUGAUGUGCGAAAGCGUGGGGAUCAAACAGGAUUAGAUACCCUGGUAGUCCACGCCGUAAACGAUGAGUGCUAAGUGUUAGGGGGUUUCCGCCCCUUAGUGCUGCAGCUAACGCAUUAAGCACUCCGCCUGGGGAGUACGGUCGCAA